GUGCCAGCAGCCGCGGUAAUACGAAGGGGGCUAGCGUUGUUCGGAAUUACUGGGCGUAAAGCGCACGUAGGCGGACUUUUAAGUCAGGUGUGAAAUCCCGGGGCUCAACCUCGGAACUGCAUUUGAAACUGGAAGUCUAGAGACCAGGAGAGGUUAGCGGAAUACCGAGUGUAGAGGUGAAAUUCGUAGAUAUUCGGUGGAACACCAGUGGCGAAGGCGGCUAACUGGACUGGUACUGACGCUGAGGUGCGAAAGUGUGGGGAGCAAACAGGAUUAGAUACCCUGGUAGUCCACACCGUAAACGAUGAGAGCUAGUUGUUGGCAGGCAUGCCUGUCGGUGACGCAGCUAACGCAUUAAGCUCUCCGCCUGGGGAGUACGGCCGCAAGGUUAAAACUCAAAGAAAUUGACGG
Molecule: ribosomal RNA, 411 nt
Filed under: Hyphomonas sp.
Lineage: Bacteria; Pseudomonadati; Pseudomonadota; Alphaproteobacteria; Hyphomonadales; Hyphomonadaceae
Description: bacterial SSU rRNA
Rfam family: Bacterial small subunit ribosomal RNA
Source: RNAcentral